AGUUUUUACAUUAUUUAUACUGUUAUAAAAUGAAUUUUACAUCAUUCUAAAAUUGAAAGUAUUGAAAGAAGGUUGAAAGAAACCGGAAACUUGUAAUUCAAAAGAAAUAAUGCUGGAAAGCAAUGUACAACAAGUACUGUGCAUCUGGAAGAGGAAAUAUCAAAUAAUAUUUUUGAAAGGCCAUCUUUAAGUACUCGAACUGUAGAUCGCGCUUCAAGAUUCUACUGUAUGGAAACUUUUAAAAGAACAACAACAACAAAUUGGCCAGUGUUCAAGCAUUAGAACCUAGAUAUUUUCAGCUGGAAUUUAAAAAUGAGAUAUAAAAGGAAAAAAGAUGAGGAAGUGAUUAGAUAGUUGAGUAAGUUUCCAAAUCGUAGAAAAUAGAAAGUACCACAAUGGGCCUCAGACCUCCGAGGAAACCACGAGCAAUCUUGAUAAAUAUUGCCCGUUCUAACCUAGUAAUUGGACCAAAUCAGAAGAAGUAGCAAAUUUAGGCCUGGUUUGAAUUGACGUGUAAUGACCAAACAUCUUCAUUUCAUCGAACAUAAGUAUGGCGAAUGAAUCAAUUUUUAAAGAAUGAGAUCUUCAAUGGACUAUCGGAUUCGGAAAGAAAUUUGGCGACGAUAGCGCGAGAUGAUUGAUUUAUAUUAUCUACAGUUUGAGUGACUUAAUGAUCGUGGUGUGCCGGUAAGUGGAUUAGGGAAGGCUAAUGGUUCAAAAUUAGUGUCCGAACGUCACAAAUAAUGACUUCAAUUUAGGAUUUUGGCAACUGUAUAUAAGUAGCAGUAUUCUGACGUUUCAUCUAGCUUCAUUAGUCGGUACAACAAGCAGUGCUUGCAGUCUGUAAUGAAGAUCAGUUGUGUGUGUACGUGCGUUUCAAGCCUCGACUCGUAAUUAUUACGACAGAUAAGUAUUUACGUUACUAAUAUGUUGGAAUAUUUAUAUAAUUUAAUUUUUUGUUAGGUAUAUUUGAAAUGAAGUGUCAAAGCGAAAACGUUUCGAAAAUACAAGACCGUUAACAGAUAAUGAGUUAGAAGCAUUAGUGUUGUCCCUUAACUCCUCAGAUGACGGAGAAAUACAAUCUAGCGGUUCCGAAUAUGAAGAUAACCUGGAGAAUGAUAUUAUUCCCUCUGAAUCAGAAUAUGAACCCGGUGUAUCCGAUGCAGAAAGCACCGAUUUUGACCAAAGUAAAAUCAUGCGGCGAAAAAGAUAGUAUACCAGUAUCCUAUAAUUCAAGAUUAGAAACUCGAAAAAUAAAUUACUCUAUUGAUGUUGAUGAGACUGAAACAUCAAUAGAAAAUAAUCAAUCUCAAAACUUGGAAGGAACAAAUUAACAAAAUAUCUUAUAAGAAGAAAAUUAUGACAUCGAAAAUGUGCAGACAAGUACAUCAGACAAGUGCCAAAUUGGGAAAAAGUCUUGGGGGUAAGAAUGGCCACCGCUGGUGUACUUCUGUUGUCAACAGAAGCAAACGAAUUUCAAAAGUAAAUAUUGUACAUAUAAUACAAGGAUCUGUAGGAGAUACACGGAAAGCUCAGACCCCCAGAAAUAUGAUCCACACUAAUCUAGGAAUAGGAACUAAAUCUGAAAACUACAAAGUGUCCAAAUCCACUGUUUCCAGUAUUAGUCCAGAAGAAUUACAUGCUUUUGUUGGCCUUCUAAUAUUUGCAGCAGUCCAAAAGGACAACUAUUUAGCCACCAGAGAAAUUUUUGUUUACAGAAAGUCCGGGUCUAUUUGCAGAGCAACACUAAGCCGUGAGAGAUUUGAAUUUUUAUUGGAUAAUCUGCGGUUCGAUGACAAAAGUACACGUAUCGAAAGAAGACAACUAGACCGUUUUGUACCUAUUCCAGAUAUCUGGAAUGAGUUUAUUCUAAAUUAUAAUCGCUCAUAUAGACCUGGCAGUUAUAUAACUAUUGACGAGUAGUUAUAAGUAUUUAGGGGACGCUGCUCAUUUAGGAUGUAUAUUCCCAAUAAGCCCGCUAAAUACGGGAUAAAGAUCGUUAUGUGUUGCGAUGUGGGAACAAAAUACAUGUUUGCUGCUGAACCUUACCUUGGGAAAAAUACAGACACCAACUAAGUACCCUUAGGAGAAUAUUAUGUCAAGAAGUUGAUUGAAAGUCUCCGCGGAAGUAAUCACUACAUAACAAUGGACAAUUGGUUCACUUCGGUAAAUCUUGCGGACCAGCUUCUAAAGCCACCAUACUACAUGACAAUAGUUGGCACUAUGAGACACAAUAAACGUGGAGUGCCCCCUGAAAUGAUCAAUCUGAGAAACAGAGAGGUGGGAAGCUCAAUUUUUUGUUACGAUAGAGAAAACACACUAGAUUCAUACAAACCUAAAAGAAAUAAAAGCGUUUUUCUUCUAUCUACAAUACAUGAAGGAUCAACUAUCUGUCCGGAUACUGGAAAGUCCGAAAUAAUAUUAUUUUAUAAUAAAACCAAAUGCAUUUGACCAAAUAAAUAAAUUCUUGGAUUAUGUUCAAUAAUAAUUUACAAACAAAUGGAAAGAAAAUGAUCUCAAGAGAAGAUUUCAUGAUACAACUUUCUAAACAACUAACAAGACCUUGGUUAGAAUGAUGCAAAAUUGUUCCAACUUUGCAACGCUCACUCAAACGUAUGAUUUCAAAAAUAAUCGCAAUUCCACUACCAGAGAGUCGGAAUGAACCCACUGCAUCAAAACGUACUACUUGUUACAUUUGUCCAUUUAAAAAACGUAGAAUGACGUCACUUUAUUGUAGCACCUGUCACCCAGCAUUUUGGGCCGAACAUCGUGCACGUUGUGUUACCUGUGAUGCAGAAAAAUAAUUUUUGUUUAUUUUAUUAAUUCUUUUAGUUCAAAACAUAUGUAUUAGUUAGCACCAUGUAAAAUUUUAUAUUAAAAAAUAUUUUGACAACUUGUUUUUGAUUUUUGAAUACGAGAUCGUAAAAAUUACGAAUGGGUAGUAUUCACGGUAUUGGAAAAUAUAGUUAGUAUUCUAGGUUUCAUUAUUUUUUUUUUUAAAAACAACAAUAAAUGCUGGACGAUCCA
Molecule: RNA transcript, 3027 nt
Organism: Diorhabda sublineata
Lineage: Eukaryota; Metazoa; Arthropoda; Insecta; Coleoptera; Chrysomelidae
Exons: 3
Source: RefSeq, a predicted model, not a curated record